Molecule: small RNA, 52 nt
Filed under: Flavobacterium sp. 1
Lineage: Bacteria; Pseudomonadati; Bacteroidota; Flavobacteriia; Flavobacteriales; Flavobacteriaceae
Description: Flavo-1 RNA
Source: RNAcentral
GCCCUAACCAGAUAAAAGUGGAAAUCUUUUGGAACAGAUAGCUGGAUUAGCU